UACGGGAGGCAGCAGUGGGGAAUAUUGCACAAUGGGCGCAAGCCUGAUGCAGCCAUGCCGCGUGUAUGAAGAAGGCCUUCGGGUUGUAAAGUACUUUCAGUCGUGAGGAAGGUGUUAAGGUUAAUACCUUAGCAAUUGACGUUAGCGACAGAAGAAGCACCGGCUAACUCCGUGCCAGCAGCCGCGGUAAUACGGAGGGUGCGAGCGUUAAUCGGAAUUACUGGGCGUAAAGGGCACGCAGGCGGUUAAUUAAGUUGGAUGUGAAAUCCCCGGGCGUUAACCUGGGAAUGGCAUUCAAGACUGGUUAGCUAGAGUCUUGUAGAGGGGGUGAAUUCCAUGUGUAGCGGUGAAAUGCGUAGAGAUGUGGAGGAAUACCGGUGGCGAAGGCGGCCCCUGGACAAAGACUGACGCUCAUGUGCGAAAGCGUGGGGAGCAAACAGGGAUUAG
This 447-nucleotide ribosomal RNA is filed under the name uncultured bacterium. RNAcentral describes it as "bacterial SSU rRNA". It matches the Rfam family "Bacterial small subunit ribosomal RNA", at positions 340 to 781 of the family's 1533-position model. The record is from RNAcentral.